AGGGUUCCCGGUGGAGUCGAUCGCACCCGAGUUUCGGGUCAGGGAAUCCGGUCAAAGUCCGGGGCUGGCGCGCAGCGGUAGGGACACGAGAGACGAGGACGACCACUGGGCACACGCCUGGGAAGGCCGUCCUCAAGCGAAGGUGUCCGAGCCCGAAGACCUGUCGACUCUGCCCGCGGAAC
RNAcentral lists this non-coding RNA (182 nucleotides) under Solirubrobacterales bacterium. Lineage: Bacteria; Bacillati; Actinomycetota; Thermoleophilia; Solirubrobacterales. The record is from RNAcentral.